ACGUCAAUGCGAAGUUGGUUUAGCCCUUUGUACAGUGUGUUAGCCUCCUGUGCUCUAAGUUGCCUCUCACAGUAGCGGCACAAUGAAUGAAUUGUGAUCAUUGACAACACAUGGAUCCCACAUAGCACGUCCCAGCUCUGACCUCUGACCUCACUGAGAUUGAAAACUCCUGCCAUCAGUAACCUCCUCAUGUGCAUCAUCUUCUUGAAGUUUGACCCUCGGCCUGCAUCCAAAAAUGCCUACAGGCUUAUUCUGGCUGCUAACAGAGAUGAGGUCUACAGCAGACCGUCCAAAGCUGCAGACUUCUGGGGCAGCAACAAUGAGUUCCUC
Molecule: long non-coding RNA, 330 nt
Organism: Sinocyclocheilus rhinocerous
Lineage: Eukaryota; Metazoa; Chordata; Actinopteri; Cypriniformes; Cyprinidae
Exons: 3
Source: RefSeq, a predicted model, not a curated record